Molecule: ribosomal RNA, 253 nt
Filed under: uncultured bacterium
Lineage: Bacteria
Description: partial 16S ribosomal RNA
Rfam family: Bacterial small subunit ribosomal RNA
Source: RNAcentral
UACAGAGGGUGCGAGCGUUGUCCGGAAUUACUGGGCGUAAAGGGCGCGUAGGCGGCUUGGUAAGUCGGCUGUGAAAGUCCAGGGCUCAACCCUGGGAUGCCGGUCGAUACUGCCGGACUAGAGUUCGGAAGAGGCGAGUGGAAUUCCCGGUGUAGCGGUGAAAUGCGCAGAUACCGGGAGGAACACCUAUGGCGAAGGCAGCUCGCUGGGACGUUACUGACGCUGAGACGCGAAAGCGUGGGGAGCAAACAGG